RNAcentral lists this long non-coding RNA (1202 nucleotides) under Polistes fuscatus (common paper wasp). Its description in RNAcentral is "uncharacterized LOC122520144". The record is from RNAcentral. Lineage: Eukaryota; Metazoa; Arthropoda; Insecta; Hymenoptera; Vespidae.
CCCUCUAACGUCGCUCGAUUCAGUCACCCGACCGAUUCGCGAGCGUAGGGAUUCCGCGCCUUUUCUCUCCGCGGUUGUGUGUGACCUACCGCUAAAUAACGUCCCCGCUUUUUUUUUCCGUUUCAACGGGGGAUAAGUCCAGUCAGUAAGUUCUAUUUUCUUUUAACCCCCGUUCAAUUUUUUUUAUCGUAAUCCUCACGUUUCAUUUCGUACUGUUCGUGUUUUUGUGUUCUUUCGAAUGAAGAAAAGGAGAGAAAGAAAAAUAAAGAGAAGCUUAUCGAUCUCUCUCUGAAGGAAGAAAGGUGUUCGCCGUACGUGUUCCAGGUUCGUUUAUUAACGAAAAUGUUCAGAGAAAUAAGUUGACACUUUGUAUGACGUUACGUUUCGAUAACACAAGUGAUAUGCGUGUAUCUGUGUAAGAGAGAAAGAGAGAGAGAGAGAGGGAGAGAAAGGGAAAGAGAUAGAUGGAACUAGAAGUUUUUCCUCCUUUAUCCUCACAUAUACAAACGUAUUUCACGUUGAAUUAACAUGGCCCACUUUCUAAACGAUCACAUGUCCUACGUCGGCUGCAGGAGAGCAGCAGCAGCAGCAGCAGUAGCAGCAGCAGCAACUUACGAAAGAGUAGUCAUUUAAAAUAAUCGUACCGAUUGGAAUGAUUGUUUUUCCUCUGUACGUGCACAUGUCGGGGGAAUAUAUUUAACUCGAUCGUGCAGUUCGUUGUGUUGUUUCGUUGUUAUCGUUGAUCGAUUUAAAUGUCGAAGAAAAUUCAACACCUUUCUCGUGUUUAUGAAAAUGACGGAAGGAAAAAAAAACAUGACGAGGAGGAACGUGGUAACACGUCCACGCGGUCAUGAGAGUUUUAAACGAGUGUCGACGGAUGACUGCCACGGUGGUGCAUUUACAUCGACGUAAAAGUGCAGUGUGACGAAAACGACAACGACGACGACGAUUACGAUUACGACUACGACUACGACUACGAUAACUACGACAAUUACUACGACUACGACUACGACUAAGACUAUGACAACUGUGAUGACACGAUUCGUGGGAGAAAUUGUGUAAAAUAAGCAAAGGGUAGUGUGCGUGAUUAUUAUUGUUAUUCAUUAGCGAUUCAAAUACUUACUUGAUAUAGUUCGCGUGUCUAAGUUCGGUAAGUCCCUACGAACUAAGAAAGAGAAACUACGAGAAGGUCUGAAGAAAGU